This 255-nucleotide ribosomal RNA is filed under the name uncultured bacterium. Its description in RNAcentral is "partial 16S ribosomal RNA". It matches the Rfam family "Bacterial small subunit ribosomal RNA", at positions 524 to 777 of the family's 1533-position model. The record is from RNAcentral.
UACGAAGGGGGGCUAGCGUUGCUCGGAAUCACCGGGCGUAAAGCGCACGUAGGCGGAUUCUUAAGUCGAGGGGUGAAAUCCUGGAGCUCAACUCCAGAACUGCCUUUGAUACUGAGGGUCUUGAGUUUGGGAGAGGUGAGUGGAACUGCGAGUGUAGAGGUGAAAUUCGUAGAUAUUCGCAAGAACACCAGUGGCGAAGGCGGCUCACUGGCCCGAUACUGACGCUGAGUGCGAAAGCGUGGGGAGCAAACAGGG